UACGUAGGUCCCGAGCGUUGUCCGGAUUUAUUGGCGUAAAGCGAGCGCAGGUGGUUUAUUAAGUCUGGUGUAAAAGGCAGUGGCUCAACCAUUGUAUGCAUUGGAAACUGGUAGACUUGAGUGCAGGAGAGGAGAGUGAAAUUCCAUGUGUAGCGGUGAAAUGCGUAGAUAUAUGGAGGAACACCGGUGGCGAAAGCGGCUCUCUGGCCUGUAACUGACACUGAGGCUCGAAAGCGUGGGGAGCAAACAGG
Molecule: ribosomal RNA, 251 nt
Filed under: uncultured bacterium
Lineage: Bacteria
Description: partial 16S ribosomal RNA
Rfam family: Bacterial small subunit ribosomal RNA
Source: RNAcentral